CGUCUAUAUACGUAUAGCAUAUCAAUAAGCGGAGGAAAAGAAACUAACUAGGAUUCCCUCAGUAACGGCGAGUGAAGCGGGAAGAGCUCAAAUUUGAAAUCUUCAAGGUUCUACCUUGACGAAUUGUAGUUUAAAGAAGUGUUUUCUGUUGGAGUUUUGGUAAAAGUUCUUUGGAAUAGGACAUCAUAGAGGGUGAGAAUCCCGUAUUUGACCAUUAUUUCCAACUUUGUGAUACACUUUCAAAGAGUCGGAUUGUUUGGGAAUGCAGUCCAAAAUGGGUGGUAAAUUUCAUCUAAAGCUAAAUACUGGCGAGAGACCGAUAGCGAACAAGUACCGUGAGGGAAAGAUGAAAAGAACUUUGAAAAGAGAGUUAAACAGUACGUGAAAUUGUCAAAAGGGAAGCGUUUGACAGCCAGUGUUGUUUUCUCGAAAAUCAAUUAAAAAUGGCUGGGAUUUUGUGUUGUAUUGACUUUAUCAGCUUUCUGCACUUUUUUCCUAUCUUUUUUAAUGCACUUUUCGUUUAACAAGUCAACAUCAAUUUCUUUUGUUGUAAAAGAGUCAUUGGAAGGUGGCUUUCUUUUCGGAGAAAGUGUUUAUAGCCUUUGACUUCUGCAAUCGGAGAGAUUGAGGUCUGCAGCGUAGAUCCUUCGGGGUUAGAUACAUUUGUGCUAAGUUAUAGCCUUUUCAUAGACAACAUUGUUGACUAUGAUCAGUCAUGUAGCUUACUCGCUUAUGUUAUCUUACCUACGCUUAGGAUGUUGACGAUCAGCUGAGCGCG
RNAcentral lists this ribosomal RNA (778 nucleotides) under uncultured Neocallimastigales. RNAcentral's name for it is "partial large subunit ribosomal RNA". It matches the Rfam family "Eukaryotic large subunit ribosomal RNA", at positions 26 to 648 of the family's 3401-position model. The record is from RNAcentral. Lineage: Eukaryota; Fungi; Neocallimastigomycota; Neocallimastigomycetes; Neocallimastigales.